Sus scrofa (pig) is the source of this 8048-nucleotide non-coding RNA. Lineage: Eukaryota; Metazoa; Chordata; Mammalia; Artiodactyla; Suidae. The record is from RefSeq and is a predicted model, not a curated record.
GCCGGAGAGGGGCGGGCAGCUCGUGCUUAGAGGGAGGGUGUCCGCCCUUCACAAUCAUGGCGGCAUGGAGGGGGCGGGGUCUGGAAGGGCAAAUUGGGCUGGCGGUCCCCGAACUAGCUGUCAUGUGACUGGGAAGAUGGCCACCUUUCCCUGGCAUUCGAGGAAUAGGAACUACAAGGCUGAGUUUGCAUCAUGCCGGUUGGAGGCUGUACCGCUGGAGUUUGGGGACUAUCACCCCCUGAAGCCCAUAACUGUCACCGAGUCAAAGACAAAGAAAGUGAGCCGGAAGGGGAGCACUUCCUCCACGUCCUCCUCAUCCUCCAGCUCCGUGGUGGACCCUCUGAGCAGCGUGCUGGAUGGGACUGACCCCCUCUCCAUGUUCGCAGCCUCUGCUGACCCCGCCACCCUGACGGUUGCCAUGGACAGCUCCAGAAAGAAACGAGACAGAGAUGAUAACUCCAUUGUCGGAUCCGAUUUUGAGCCUUGGGCCAGCAAACGAGGAGAAAUCCUUGCCCGGUACACGACCACGGAAAAGCUCUCCAUCAAUCUUUUUAUGGGAUCUGAAAAAGGCAAAGCUGGUACUGCCGCAUCUGCAAUGUCAGAGAAGGUUCGGACCAGGCUGGAGGAGCUGGAUGACUUCGAGGAGGGAUCCCAGAAGGAGCUGUUGAAUUUGACUCAACAGGAUUAUGUGAACCGCAUUGAGGAGCUCAACCAGUCGCUGAAGGACGCCUGGGCCUCGGACCAGAAAGUGAAGGCUCUAAAAAUAGUCAUCCAGUGUUCAAAGCUUCUUUCGGACACAAGUGUCAUUCAGUUCUAUCCAAGCAAAUUUGUUCUUAUCACCGACAUACUUGACACAUUUGGAAAGCUGGUGUACGAGCGAAUCUUUUCCAUGUGUGUGGAUAACCGCAGCGUCUUACCAGAUCACUUCUCUCCAGAGAAUGUAAAUGACACAGCCAAAGAAACAUGCUUAAAUUGGUUUUUCAAGAUUGCUUCCAUCAGGGAACUGAUUCCGAGAUUUUACGUGGAAGCAUCCAUCCUGAAGUGUAACAAGUUCCUCUCCAAAACGGGGAUCUCAGAGUGUCUGCCGAGGCUGACCUGCAUGAUCCGGGGGAUCGGGGACCCGCUGGUGUCGGUGUACGCCAGGGCCUACCUGUGCAGGGUGGGCAUGGAGGUGGCACCACAUCUCAAAGAAAGCCUAAAUAAGAACUUUUUUGACUUCCUCCUCACAUUCAAACAGAUUCACGGGGACACGGUCCAGAACCAGCUGGUGGUCCAGGGAGUGGAGCUGCCAUCCUACCUGCCCCUGUACUCGCCUGCCAUGGAUUGGAUCUUCCAGUGUAUCUCCUACCACGCCCCCGAGGCUCUGUUAACCGAGAUGAUGGAGAGAUGUAAGAAACUAGGAAACAAUGCCUUGCUCUUGAAUUCUGUGAUGUCAGCCUUCCGGGCCGAGUUCAUCGCCACACGGUCCAUGGAUUUCAUCGGCAUGAUUAAAGAGUGCCAUGAGUCUGGCUUCCCCAAGCAUCUCCUUUUUCGCUCACUGGGGUUAAACUUGGCCUUGGCUGAUCCCCCCGAGGGUGACCGACUUCAGAUCCUCAAUGAAGCUUGGAAAGUUAUCACUAAGUUGAAGAAUCCACAGGAUUACAUUAAUUGUGCCGAAGUAUGGGUAGAAUACACCUGCAAGCAUUUCACGAAACGAGAGGUGAACACUGUCCUGGCUGAUGUCAUCAAGCACAUGACUCCAGAUCGUGCAUUCGAAGACUCCUACCCUCAGCUUCAGUCAAUAAUUAAGAAAGUGAUAGCACACUUCCAUGAUUUCUCAGUUCUUUUCUCAGUGGAGAAAUUUCUGCCAUUUCUGGACAUGUUCCAAAAAGAGGGUGUGCGCGUGGAGGUUUGCAGAUGCAUCAUGGAAGUUUUUAUCAAGCAUCAGCAAGAGCCCACCAAGGACCCAGUCAUUCUGAACGCCCUUUUGCAUGUUUGCAAGACCAUGCAUGACUCUGUGAAUGCACUCACUCUUGAGGACGAGAAAAGAAUGCUGGCCUAUUUGAUUAAUGGAUUUAUAAAAAUGGUGUCCUUUGGCCGUGAUUUUGAACAACAGCUGAGCUUUUACGUGGAGGCCAGGUCAAUGUUCUGCAAUCUGGAACCUGUUCUUGUGCAGCUGAUCCACAGUGUGAACCGGUUGGCCAUGGAAACAAGAAAAGUCAUGAAAGGAAAUCAUUCCAGAAAGACAGCCGCAUUUGUCCGGGCCUGUGUCGCCUACUGCUUCAUUACCAUUCCCUCCCUGGGGGGGAUCUUCACCCGCCUCAAUCUCUACCUGCACUCGGGUCAGGUGGCCUUGGCCAACCAGUGCCUCUCCCAAGCUGAUGCCUUUUUCAAAGCCGCAAUAAGCCUCAUUCCAGAAGUUCCAAAGACGAUUAACAUCGACGGGAAGAUGCGGCCCUCGGAGUCAUUCCUUCUGGAAUUCCUCUGCAACUUCUUUUCUACGUUAUUAAUAGUUCCGGAUCAUCCUGAACACGGGGUCCUGUUUCUUGUCCGAGAGCUGCUCAACGUGAUCCAGGACUACACCUGGGAGGACAACAGUGAUGACAAAAUCCGCAUCUACACCUGUGUCCUGCACCUGCUGUCCGCCAUGAGCCAGGAGACCUACCUCUACCACAUAGACAAAGUCGACUCCAACGACAGCCUCUACGGGGGAGACUCCAAGUUUCUGGCUGAAAACAACAAACUGUGCGAGACGGUGAUGGCUCAGAUCCUGGAGCAUCUCAAGACCCUGGCCAAGGAUGAGGUAGGUGCCCCCGGCCACCUGGCCAGUUCCAAGGGCGCUUGGACAUUGGUUUGUCCUGUGAGUACUGGGUCUGUGUGCAGACCAUUCACUGAGGGCCCCAGGGCCUUUGCUCCUGCUGUUUUCUCUGCCUCCCAGCUUCUCCUGGCCGCCCCUCUCAUCCUUCAGGUCUCAGCUCAAGUUCCUCCUCAGAGUGGCUUUCCCCGACCCCCGUCCCAAGUCGCCGCCGUCCUCCUGGGUCUCUCUGUACUGUUCCUGGGACACUCGGUCACUCUCUGAAACGCUGUGUGUUCACGUGUCAGUGGCCUGCCUCCCCCACCAGAAUAUAAACUCCCUGCGGUGGGGACCUCAAGAUGUGGGUCUCUGGGAUCCAUCUGUUGCUCACCCCAGCAUCCCUACCUCAGAGCCUGGCUGUAGUGGGUGCUCCACCAGUGCCUGUUGAGGAAAUGAUAGCCCACGCUCUUCAGAAUCCUCGGCGCCCCCCCUGAUCCUUGCAACUGGGGGCUCUGGCUCCAGCUCCUUGCCCGGGCCUCUUAGAGCAGGGCUGCUUCAAGUUUGACAUGCUGUGCCCAUGAAGCACACCACGUGGCUUGAAAAGCCUUUCUUCACACUCAUGCCACAGGCUGGGUCUCCUCAGAGGUGACAGCUGACAGCAUGAACGACCGAAGCCUAGGGCCCCCGGGCUCACCAGAAAAAGCGAGCCAGAACCAUAUAAUUUGGAACGAUUUUAAUGUCUCUUUUUCUCUUGGGGGAGGAGGCGUUGAUGGUGAUAAUGACUCCAAAAUAAUUCUGAAAGAAGAGCAAGGCUGGCAUGUUGCCGAGACAUUGCAACUCACAUAAAUACCAGGGUGCUCCCUGAACACGUCUGUCCGUAUGUGCACAUUGAUCAGGAGAAGCGUGGGUGGACCGACCCGAGGUGGAACGUGUCAUCCUUCCUCCUGACAACGUGCUGUGGGGCUGCAUGCAGGCGACCCUGGAGGGGGGGGCGAGUCCUCAGACCGCUGUCCCCUGCCCGGGGGACGAGGCUGGCGCUGUGAACCCCCUGUGCCCAGGCCCCGUCUCUCAGUGCCAAUGGCAGCCUGCUUCCACCCGGUCCCCUCGGUCCCCGUGAAGGAAGCAGCCCUGCUGGGAUCCUUUGGGAAGCCGUCUGUUUGGGUGUGGUGAGGCUGGGACCCGAGCCAGACCCUCCCAGCUUCCUGGACAUGAUGGUUCUCAUCGGGAAAGAUUCAAAAGAAGCUGAUUAAAACCUCGGUGCGGAUUGGAGGGGGCUCGAGGCCCUGACUCGGGGUCUUUUACAGUGUGCUCUUAGUUUCCUGGCUCUUUGCAUGUCGGCCGGCAUUCUUCCUUCCUCAUCCCCCCUCCUGUCCCUAAUAAUGUCAUUUUUAACGGGCUGUGCAUUUAAAACAGAUGUGAGGAGUUCCCGUUGUGGCGCAGCGGUAACAAACCCGACUAGGAUCCAUGAGGAUGUGGGUUUGAUCCCUGGCCUCGCUCAGUGGGAAAAGGAUCUGGCAUUGCCGUGAGCUGUGGUGUAGGUCGCAGAUGUGGCUCAGAGUUACUGUGCCUGUGGUGUAGACCAGCAGCUGUAGCUUUGAUUCGCCCCCUGGCCUGGGAACUUCCAUGUGCCUCGGGUACAGCCCUAAAAAGCAAAUUAAAAAAAUUUAAAAAUAAAGCAGCUGUGAACUGGGUUUUUAGAAAAGGCAAAAUGCUUGAGAAGAUACAGAAUGGACUUUUAAAAAUUCUCUUCUGCUUCCGUGAAAUGUAGUUAAAGGGCCUCCCCCGGGGAGACUCUGUGGUUGGAUCCGAGAGCCUUCUGUUAGCUGGGCCUGGAGAUCGGAGCAGAAAACAGGGUCUUCCUGUUCCCCAGGCGUCAGACAAGGGCCGGGGUGAAAGGCGAGGGGUAUGGGCUGCGACCCUCUGGACGAGCCCAGGCUCCUGAGCAGGCCAGAGCUCACUGGUUAAACAGAGGGGCCCAAAGCGGGCAGCUGCCAACCAGCUGGUGAUCCGUGCCAGGUGGGUGUCGCCCCCCCCUCCCUGGCCUGCAGGCUCAGGAUGGGACAGCGGGACCCCCACGCCUUGAAGGCAGUGCUGCUCUGUCGGCUCAGCCGUUUGUGAUAUUAUCUGGUCCAGGCUGUUGCCAAGGUAGGCUCAGUCCCUCCCCUGUCGCUCAGCCACCCUCCCCUGGUGGCAUUCCUAAUUGCUCCCCGGCAGUUCACUGUGCUGGUGUUUCCUCCAGAGACUUAGCUCCCCUUAGGCAAGGGCAGCAGGAGUAAUUGGCUCAGUGGGUAGCACAGGGCCUGCCACUCUCUGGGCUGCACACAUGGAAGGACAGCUGGACGGUUCCUGGGCUGGUGGAGAAAAAGCAGGAACCAGUACGUACUGGUCUGGACCAUGUGAAAGCAUUCCCGCUUCCCUGGAUGAAACUGGGUAGCUGCUCUGGGCAGAUCUCUUGGCCUCUUCGGAAUCUGGAUCCCUGCUAACCAGGGGCCUGUGGGAACAUCUUAGGAACCGGGGCAGGACGUGGGAGGGGUGCAGGUACUGGCACAGGCUCCAGAACUGGGCGACCUCAGUCUGCACUUGCCAGCGGCGGGGCCUGAGCAAGUUCCUGGAGCUUUCUGACCUUCCAGGGCCUCGUCUGCAAAAUGGAAGUGUAUUGCUUUCCUACUGGGGCUUGAAAUCACCACCGACUUAAAACGACCUGCACUUAUCACGGUUUGGUAGAUCAGAAGAUUUCUCUGCUCUGGGUUUCACACGGCCAGAAUCAAGGUGUUAGCCGGCUGGGUUUUUGUUUUGUUUUUGCUUUUUAGGACCGCACCUGCAGCAUAUGGAUGUUCCCAGGCUAGGGAUCAAAUCGGAGCUGCAGCUGCCGGUCUAUACCACAGUCACAGCAACACCAGAUCCAAGCGGCAUCUGCAACCUACACCACAGCUCACGGCAAAGUUCACGGCUCACGCUUAACCCACAGAGCGAGGUCAGGGAUCAAACCCAUGUCCUCAUGGAUACCAGUCGGAUUCAUAACCUGCUGAGCCACAAUGGGAACUCCCUGGCUGGGCUCUUACUGGAGGCCCCGGGAAGAAUCCAUUUGCCAGCUCACUGGAGUUGGCAGGCUUCAGUUCCCCGUGGGGUAGGGCUGAGGUCCUGUUUCCUUGCUGGCUGUUGGCUGGGGGCCGUUCUCAGCUUCUAGAAGCCACCUGCAUUUCUUAGCUCUCGGCCCCCUUCUUCCAUCUUGAAAGCCAGCCAUGGUGGGUCAUGUCUUUCCCUAGCUUGAAUCUCUGUGGUCUGACCUUCUGCCUCGUCUUCCCUCUGCUUUUGUCUUCUGCUACUUCUCUCUGGCUCCAGCUCAAGACAUCCCUCUGCUCUUUAGGGCUCAAGGGACCAGACUGGGCCCACCCAGAUCAUCCAGGAUGGUCUCCAUGGGGUCCUUCCCCUUCAUUACACCUGCGGUGUCCCUUCCUGGUAGCACCUAGUUAGGGUUUGAAAAAGCAGGGGUUGGGGAUCCUGCCGACCCACAGAGUUGUGAACAUCAAAGAGUUGUGUGAAGCACAGAGCUCACUCCCGGCACACUGCUACGAGUGGCUCCACACCCACUAGCUGCCAAGGAGCAAAGCAGACACUCGGGCUCCUGCCAGCACUGGUGUUCACGGUGCCAGCCAAGGGUACCCAGCCAGGGCCCACGCAGCCAAGUGAUCUGACCUGGGCCAUCCAGGUGCUGUUUACCUUCAGGAGGCAGUAUCCCUUCCCCUGGGCCUUAUUUUGGAGAUUGUGUGUCUUUCUGUCUUUAUCAUUCAAGCUGGGCUCAGGUCUGGUCCACCUCUGACACUUGGGUUCCACUUUCUUUGCGUACUUUUCCCAUCAGACCAUUGAGCCAGAGAGGAAGGAGCUGGUGUUAAGAACACAGAACGGCUCAGUGGCUUAAGCAUCUGGCGUUGAUGAGCUGUGGUCGGUCGCAGAUGCAGCUCCGAUCCCACGUGGCUGUGGCUGUGGCUGUGGUGUAGGCCAACAGCUGUAGCUCUGACGGGACCCCUAGCCUGGGAACCUCCAUAUGCCACAGGUGCAGCCCUAAAAAGCCAAAAAAAAGUACAGAAUGACUCUUAGAAAAGCUGGGCGUGGGCACCAGGCAUUGGAGAGCUGUUCCUGGGUGCCAUCUUUGGUCUUCAUUACCCGCCCCCAAGGGGGUGGGAAAGUGACGGACACUUCGGGUGGCUUCAGGACCCAUCUGAGACAUAUUUGACCCUGGAGUUUUCCCUCGUUCUGGCGUUAAAGCCAGAAGGCCCAUCUCUGCUGGUUCUUGAGCCCACUGACCGUUGGGCCUCCCUUGCUUCUGCGUCCACCCCCAGUGAUGCCCAAGCGGGAGGAACAGAGCAAGGGGCUUCACCUGGGUCAUCUCAUCCAGACUCACUUGCCCUGCAAGGUCCUGUAGCCUUGACCGUCCUGCAGAGGAAGAAGCUGGCGCUCAGGGAGGUGAAGCAGCUCGCCCUCCAGAUCAGUGGUAGGGUUGGCCCUGGAACCUCUGGGCACCGUCAACCCUGGGUCGGGCCUCAGUCCCAGGGAGUAACCUCUGUCUUCUGUUUCAGGCCCUGAAGCGCCAGAGCUCUCUGGGCCUUUCCUUCUUUAACAGCAUCUUGGCCCACGGCGACCUGCGCAACAACAGGCUCAACCAGCUCUCCGUCAACCUCUGGCACCUGGCACAGAGGCAUGGCUGUGCCGACACCAGGACCAUGGUGAAAACCCUGGAAUACAUCAAGAAGCGAAGCAGGCAACCAGACAUGGGGCAUCUGACCGAGCUGGCCCUCAGGCUCCCUCUGCAAACGAGGACCUGACCCUAGGGACUCUGGGUCACGUCCAGAAAGACCUGUUUUGCUUUUUUGUUUUGAUUGGGACACACAUACAGAUGGGUUUAAGCUCUGGCCUCUACCCGGAUGAUUCUGACCUUGAGGCGGAACUGCCACGGCAUCAGAUCCCCCCUGCUUAGCGAGCACAGUGUCUUAGUGUUUCUUGGCACAGGUGGCCUUCAGAUGGGCCUUUAGUGAGGAAUGGAAGAAUGCAAGUAAUGUCUUUCUUUUCUGGAAGGUGUUUUUUAGCUGGAAAAAGAACCUUGAAGAACAGUCCACUCUGAACGAGCCUCUAUGCCCUCCUUAAUUCGCUAUCAAAAGCAACUUGACUGGAUUUAGCAAGUGUUGGCGGGACUAAAGGAGCAAGCGAGGUCAAAUCUGAGAUGGCCUGUGGCUUCCAUGGAAACUAUACUGUAACUGAAUAAACUUCCUGAAGGAAC